GAGUUUCUGCGGCGUGAGGACGCCGAAAUGAGUGUCCUGUCUAUUUGAGCGUGCUCUCGAAGUUUCAAAAGUCUGCAUUCAGCGUUCUUAUACUGCCUUUCAUUUGGCAAAGGGGUUUCAAAAACCGGCCUCCAGUUAGAAAGUGUUUUUUCCGAGUUCUGCGGUUCCUGCUGCUUUGCGCUCCGACAAUCUCUUUUCCGAUCCACUCCAGCAACUCGAGGAGCGUUGGCAGGUUCUUCUCGACAAUGUGUGCUUUUCCUUGAACUUUAUUUUGAUACCCGUGGCUUGAUCUGUAGUGUACCCUUUGUAUACCGAUAUAUAUUAUUGUUAACCUGCAUGUUUCAUGUUGACUGUUGCUAUUGUAUGUGCUGCGGCUCCUGGUUUUCGGCGCUCCGACGAUCUCCGGCAAUUGAUUGACAAUGUGUGCUUUUCUUGUAUUUUAUUUUUGUUA
Molecule: non-coding RNA, 451 nt
Organism: Lepisosteus oculatus (spotted gar)
Lineage: Eukaryota; Metazoa; Chordata; Actinopteri; Semionotiformes; Lepisosteidae
Source: RefSeq, a predicted model, not a curated record